Molecule: ribosomal RNA, 467 nt
Filed under: uncultured bacterium
Lineage: Bacteria
Description: partial 16S ribosomal RNA
Rfam family: Bacterial small subunit ribosomal RNA
Source: RNAcentral
GACGAACGCUGGCGGCGUGCUUAACACAUGCAAGUCGAGCGGGAAACUUCGGUUUCCAGCGGCGGACGGGUGAGUAACACGUGGGCAACCUGCCUCACAAUGAGGGAUAGCCUUCCGAAAGGAAGAUUAAUACCUCAUAACACAAGAGAAACGCAUGUUUCUUUUGCCAAAGAAUUUCGUCGUGAGAUGGGCCCGCGGCGCAUUAGCUUGUUGGUGAGGUAACGGCUCACCAAGGCUUCGAUGCGUAGCCGACCUGAGAGGGUGAUCGGCCACAUUGGAACUGAGACACGGUCCAGACUCCUACGGGAGGCAGCAGUGGGGAAUAUUGCACAAUGGAGGAAACUCUGAUGCAGCAACGCCGCGUGAGUGAUGAAGGUCUUCGGAUUGUAAAGCUCUGUCUUCUGGGACGAUAAUGACGGUACCAGAGGAGGAAGCCAUGGCUAACUACGUGCCAGCCGCCGCGGUAA